UCAGCUGGAUAGAGUACCUGGCUACGAACCAGGCGGUCAGAGGUUCGAAUCCUCUCGGACGCGCCA
RNAcentral lists this transfer RNA (66 nucleotides) under Vibrio cholerae O1 str. EM-1546. RNAcentral describes it as "partial tRNA-Arg". It matches the Rfam family "tRNA", at positions 12 to 71 of the family's 71-position model. From Rfam's summary of the family: Transfer RNA (tRNA) molecules are approximately 80 nucleotides in length. Their secondary structure includes four short double-helical elements and three loops (D, anti-codon, and T loops). Further hydrogen bonds mediate the characteristic L-shaped molecular structure. tRNAs have two regions of fundamental functional importance: the anti-codon, which is responsible for specific mRNA codon recognition, and the 3' end, to which the tRNAs corresponding amino acid is attached (by aminoacyl-tRNA synthetases). tRNAs cope with the degeneracy of the genetic code in two manners: having more than one tRNA (with a specific anti-codon) for a particular amino acid; and 'wobble' base-pairing, i.e. permitting non-standard base-pairing at the 3rd anti-codon position. The record is from RNAcentral. RNAcentral also lists the same sequence under 2 other names. Lineage: Bacteria; Pseudomonadati; Pseudomonadota; Gammaproteobacteria; Vibrionales; Vibrionaceae.